RNAcentral lists this ribosomal RNA (406 nucleotides) under uncultured bacterium. RNAcentral's name for it is "partial 16S ribosomal RNA". It matches the Rfam family "Bacterial small subunit ribosomal RNA", at positions 28 to 526 of the family's 1533-position model. The record is from RNAcentral.
GAUGAACGCUAGCUACAGGCUUAACACAUGCAAGUCGAGGGACCGGCGCACGGGUGAGUAACACGUAUCCAACCUUCCCUUUACGCGGGGAUAGCCUUUCGAAAGAAAGAUUAAUACCCGAUAUAAAGGAUGGGGAUGCGUUCCAUUAGGUUGUUGGUGAGGUAACGGCUCACCAAGCCUUCGAUGGAUAGGGGUUCUGAGAGGAAGGGCCCCCACAUUGGAACUGAGACACGGUCCAAACGCAUACGGGAGGCAGCAGUGAGUAAUAUUGGGUAAUGGGCGCGAGCCUGAACCAGCCAAGUAGUGUGAAGGAUGAAGGCUUAUGGGUCGUAAUCUUCUUUUAUAUAAGAAUAUGUAUUAGAUGAAUAAGGAUCGGCUAACUCCGUGCCAGCAGCCGCGGUAAUUC